Non-coding RNA from Lactarius indigo, 89 nucleotides. NCBI's taxonomy places the organism in Eukaryota, Fungi, Basidiomycota, Agaricomycetes, Russulales, Russulaceae. The record is from the annotation of a GenBank genome assembly.
GCCCGCCUAGCUCAAUCGGAUAGAGCGUCAGACUCUUAUGGCGGGUAGCUGUGAUCUGAAGGCUGCGAGUUCGACCCUCGCGGUGGGCU